ACAGGAACUGGGAUUGUUGAUUGUUUACGGAACAGGUAUUUUAUAGUGGACCUCCAGGAAGAAUUAAAAAAAAAAAAAAGCUGCCAAAUUUAAUUAUUCCAGAUAAUUCCGGCGCGAAACUGGAUAAUCGCCCCCAAACAGAUGACUCAAGGGGGCUUGGAACGUUCGCCUUCCUUUGCGCGGAGUGGCCCGGCGCAGCUGUGGGAGGUUCCUCGCGGGGCGCUCCGCCCGCCCUCCUCCAAUCAGAAGUCGAGCAGGCCUCCCGAGGCGCUCGCCUGCAUUUCCAUUCAUCUCCCGCAGGAGACAGGAGCCGCGCACGUGCCGGCGAGUCCCUCUCGAGAGCCCAGCAAAGGCGGACGAGCGCGAGGGCGGGAAAAAGCUCGCGGGCGGCCUGGGCGAGCGACGUCUUUCCCGGGAGUCGCUCCGCGCCCCCUCAGGGGACUUUCCCGCCCAGUGUCUCUUGGGCUGCGCGCGGCGAGUCUGUGCAGCUCCCGCGCCUUUUUUUUUUUUAUGGCGCUAGGACCCAGGCGAGUCUGUCUCUCGUGAGUCAGUUGCCGCAACAGCAGCGGCGGCUCGGUCGGAGUUGAGCGAGAGCGCCGUGGAUGAGGCUGCGGCGCGCGCGCGAAGUGAAUGGCUCGCGUGCGUUGGGAAAGUGGCCACGGAGCGAGGCGCUCGAGGAUCCCGUGCGUGAGCCUGCGCGACGGCGCCUAUAGCGGCGGCAGCAGCAGCAGCGGCAGCAGCAGCUCCUAGGGGGGCCUCUCUCCACCUGCCCGCGGUCGCAGCGCUGAGAACCAUAAUCAAAGAUGGAAGAGACCUCAAAGAUCAUGUAAUCCAAUCCCCCCACUGAUGCAAGACACUCACUACUACAGCAUUGCUGACUGGAGAUGAUGUAACUCAGCAAUUGCAAAAACUACUGAGAUUCCCUUGCAAGUAUGUGUGGGGAAAGCUAGAUGCAAGACAGGACUGCAGAUGAGUAAAAAAAUAAAUAAUCUGACCUCAGGAAGAGAAUAUGGAGCUGUGCGGUCCCCGAAGCAUGCCUGAGAAAAUUUACUUCCAGAUUCCUCCAGUGAAUUCAAUUGGAGGAAAGUUCAGGGCAGCCCAAAGGAAGUACUUUGUGACACAGGGCACAAUUAAUUUAUAGCACUCACUGCCACCAGGUGAGGUAACAGCCACUCCUUCAGAUGGCUUGGAGAGGGGGUUACAGAAAUUAAUGGAGGAUUUUGCUGGUGGUUUAAUUCUUUUCAUAAAGUGCUUUUAGGUUUAACUUUGUUUUGUUUUUACAAACACGUGGUAUAUGAAUUUUGUGAAAUAAAUAAAAUGAGACUAUGGCUAAAAACCCCUCUACGUACAAGUUGCAGGGGAGCAACAACAGGAGUGAGCAAUUGUCUUUUGCCCUGCUUAUGGGCUUCGAGAACACAUCUCAUUGGCCACUGUUAUAAACAGGGUGCUAAAUUAUAUGGAUUUUUAGUCUGUUCCAGGAGCUCUUGUGUUCUCUAUAGAAACUUGCACUGAAUUUCAUAAAUAGCCCAGAGUUUGAAUACCUGAAUAAUUAAUUUGAUUUUGAAUUUAUGUAAAUCCAUAUGUUGCUUCAGAAUGCUCACAUGAUGUGUGUGUGUGUGUGGUUGUUUUUUUUUUUUAAUUUUUACCUUUUUAUGUUACCUAUUUAUUUUAUAAAGGGCUAAAACAACAAUCAGGAAUUUUAACCAAAACCUGCUUAAGAAAAUCAAGUCACACUAGUUGUGUCCUGUAAACCACUCAAAGUUUUAUUUUU
Non-coding RNA from Podarcis muralis (Common wall lizard), 1771 nucleotides. NCBI's taxonomy places the organism in Eukaryota, Metazoa, Chordata, Lepidosauria, Squamata, Lacertidae. The record is from RefSeq and is a predicted model, not a curated record.